CCUACGGGAGGCAGCAGUGAGGAAUAUUGGUCAAUGGGCUUACGCCUGAACCAGCCAAGUCGCGUAAGGGAAGACUGCCCUAUGGGUUGUCAACCUCUUUUGUCAGGGAGCAACGCCGGCUACGUGUAUCCGUACUGAUAGUACCUGAAUAAAAAGCAUCGGCUAACUCCGUGCCAGCAGCCGCGGUAAUACGGAGGAUGCGAGCGUUAUCCGGAUUUAUUGGGUGAAAAGUGUGCGUAGGCGGAAUGCCAAGUCAGCGGUAAAAUCGCGGGGCUCAACCUCGCGCCGCCGUUGAUACUGGCGUUCUUGAGUGGGCGAGAAGUAUGCGGAAUGCGUGGUGUAGCGGUGAAAUGCAUAGAUAUAACGCAGAACUCCGAUUGCGAAGGCAGCAUACCGGCGCCCAACUGACGCUGAAGCACGAAAGCGUGGGUAUCGAACAGGAUUAGAUACCCUUGUAGUC
Molecule: ribosomal RNA, 460 nt
Filed under: uncultured bacterium
Lineage: Bacteria
Description: partial 16S ribosomal RNA
Rfam family: Bacterial small subunit ribosomal RNA
Source: RNAcentral